UACGUAGGUGGCAAGCGUUACUCGGAAUCACUAGGCGUAAAGCGCAGGUAGGAGGUUUGAUAAGUCUGUUGUGAAAGCUCCCGGCUUAACUGGGAGAGGUCAACGGAAACUAUCAGGCUAGAGUGCGGUAGAGGUAGCUGGAAUUCCCGGUGUAGCGGUGAAAUGCGCAGAUAUCAGGAAGAACACCCCGUGGCGAAGGCGGCUCUCUGGUACGUGACUGACGCUGAGACGCGAAAGCGUGGGGGAGCAAACAGG
Molecule: ribosomal RNA, 255 nt
Filed under: uncultured bacterium
Lineage: Bacteria
Description: partial 16S ribosomal RNA
Rfam family: Bacterial small subunit ribosomal RNA
Source: RNAcentral